RNAcentral lists this ribosomal RNA (498 nucleotides) under uncultured bacterium. RNAcentral describes it as "partial 16S ribosomal RNA". It matches the Rfam family "Bacterial small subunit ribosomal RNA", at positions 29 to 523 of the family's 1533-position model. The record is from RNAcentral.
AUUGAACGCUGGCGUCAUGCCUUACACAUGCAAGUCGAACGGUAACGCGGGGCAACCUGGCGACGAGUGGCGAACGGGUGAGUAAAGCAUCGGAACGUGCCCAGUAGUGGGGGAUAGCCCGGCGAAAGCCGGAUUAAUACCGCAUACGACCUAUGGGUGAAAGGGGGGGAUCGCAAGACCUCUCGCUAUUGGAGCGGCCGAUGUCAGAUUAGGUAGUUGGUGGGGUAAAGGCCUACCAAGCCGACGAUCUGUAGCUGGUCUGAGAGGACGACCAACCACACUCGGACUGAGGCACGGCCCAGACUCCCACGGGAGGCAGCAGGGGGGAAUUUCUGACAAUGGGGGAAAGCCUGCUCCAGCCAUGCCGCGUGCGGGAAGAAGGCCUUCGGGUUGUAAACCGCGUUUGUGAGGGAAGAAAUCCUUUGGGUUAAUACCUCGGGGGGAUGACGGUACCUGAAGAAUAAGCACCGGCCAACUACGUGCCAUCCGCCGCCGUAA